RNAcentral lists this long non-coding RNA (349 nucleotides) under Hordeum vulgare. Its description in RNAcentral is "long non-coding RNA (HVUL_LNC016574)". The record is from RNAcentral. Lineage: Eukaryota; Viridiplantae; Streptophyta; Magnoliopsida; Poales; Poaceae.
CUGCAUUUUGCAAAAAAGACCCCACUAAGAAAAGUGAAAACGUGAUCGGGUCCUUGCUGCACGUUGCUGGAUCCAAUCGUCGCCGAUGCUGGGGACGGACCACUUGGUCCGGCGAGACCUCUGCAAUACACCACAGACUCCAGCUUGGCACAACACUUCCUCCCUUUUGGCAUCUUGGCCAGGAGGAAUGAAAGUGGCUGCCUAUCGGCCCGAAGAUUCGAUGGAUCGGAGGAGGCCGUCCAGCCACCAUGGGCGUCGUAGCUCCUCGAAUGCCACCAUCGACUAAGCUCAGGAUCUCCGUCAUCAAAUACCAAGUCGUUGUCACGGGGCCUUCUCUAGCUUUGGGGAC